UACGGAGGAUGCAAGCGUUAUCCGGAUUUAUUGGGUUUAAAGGGUGCGUAGGCGGAUAUGUAAGUCAGCGAUGAAACUCACAGGCUCAACCUGUGCCGUGCCGUUGAAACUGUGUAUCUGGAAUGCGGAUGCUGUGGGAGGAAUGUGUAGUGUAGCGGUGAAAUGCAUAGAUAUUACACAGAACACCGAUUGCGAAGGCAUCUCACAAAGCCGUUAUUGACGCUGAGGCACGAAAGUGUGGGGAU
RNAcentral lists this ribosomal RNA (245 nucleotides) under uncultured prokaryote. RNAcentral describes it as "partial 16S ribosomal RNA". It matches the Rfam family "Bacterial small subunit ribosomal RNA", at positions 524 to 768 of the family's 1533-position model. The record is from RNAcentral.